CGACUAUGGAAGAGAAAGAGUAUUGGAAGGAUAAUGCUAGCUUCUGUGAUUCUUCACAAUAUGAUAGUCGAAGAUGAAAAAGAGCAGGCUGCCAUUCAUAUUGACUUGAAUGAAAAUCCGGGGGCUUCAUUUGCUCUGCCUCCUGAAGUGAAUGUUGGCAGUAAUCUUUGUUUCGCUGAUGUGCUGCGUAGAAAAGCUACUAUCCGUGCUCGUCCACAACAUACCCAGCUUAAAAAUGAUUUGAUCGAGCAUAUUUGGCAUAGGUUUCGAAAUAGCAGUCAUAAUUAAUCAUGGACUGAGCAACGAGUGGUGAUUGCUGCAGGUGGUGUUUGCAGUCUUGAAGUAUAUUGAUGCAAAUGGACGGUCGCUCCUUUCUACAAAGUUUCAGCUAUGCUUUGUGACUUUCUGUGUGUGCUCUAGAUCAAAACUAAUGGCUUGUUCGCCUAAGAUCAUAUUUGGUACUAUGUUUGGUUGAUGACUUCUGAUAGACUCAUGUAAUGUUUAAGUGUCGAUGUGAUGGUGCUAUGUUCCACCAGUUUGUUGCUUAUCGUUUGUCUAGAUCGAAAU
Long non-coding RNA from Lolium rigidum, 567 nucleotides. RefSeq lists it as uncharacterized. The record is from RefSeq and is a predicted model, not a curated record. The transcript is spliced from 3 exons. Lineage: Eukaryota; Viridiplantae; Streptophyta; Magnoliopsida; Poales; Poaceae.